Molecule: ribosomal RNA, 303 nt
Filed under: uncultured bacterium
Lineage: Bacteria
Description: partial 16S ribosomal RNA
Rfam family: Bacterial small subunit ribosomal RNA
Source: RNAcentral
AGCAGUCCCGCGGGAAAACGGAGGGUGCAAGCGUUGUCCGGAUUUAUUGGGUUUAAAGGGUGCGUAGGCGGCUAUUUAAGUCAGCGGUGAAAGACACCGGCUCAACCGGAGCAGUGCCAUUGAUACUGGAUAGCUUGAGUGUUGGAGGGGUACAUGGAAUUGAUGGUGUAGCGGUGAAAUGCAUAGAUACCAUCAGGAACACCGAUAGCGAAGGCAUUGUACUGGCCAACAACUGACGCUGAGGCACGAAAGCAUGGGGAGCGAACAGGAUUAGAUACCCCCGUAGUCCCUGUCUCUUAUACA